GGUGAGUAACACGUGGGUAACCUGCCCAUCAGAAGGGGAUAACACUUGGAAACAGGUGCUAAUACCGUAUAACAAUCGAAACCGCAUGGUUUCGAUUUGAAAGGCGCUUUCGGGUGUCGCUGAUGGAUGGACCCGCGGUGCAUUAGCUAGUUGGUGAGGUAACGGCUCACCAAGGCGACGAUGCAUAGCCGACCUGAGAGGGUGAUCGGCCACAUUGGGACUGAGACACGGCCCAAACUCCUACGGGAGGCAGCAGUAGGGAAUCUUCGGCAAUGGACGAAAGUCUGACCGAGCAACGCCGCGUGAGUGAAGAAGGUUUUCGGAUCGUAAAACUCUGUUGUUAGAGAAGAACAAGGAUGAGAGUAACUGUUCAUCCCUUGACGGUAUCUAACCAGAAAGCCACGGCUAACUACGUGCCAGCAGCCGCGGUAAUACGUAGGUGGCAAGCGUUGUCCGGAUUUAUUGGGCGUAAAGCGAGCGCAGGCGGUUUCUUAAGUCUGAUGUGAAAGCCCCCGGCUCAACCGGGGAGGGUCAUUGGAAACUGGGAGACUUGAGUGCAGAAGAGGAGAGUGGAAUUCCAUGUGUAGCGGUGAAAUGCGUAGAUAUAUGGAGGAACACCAGUGGCGAAGGCGGCUCUCUGGUCUGUAACUGACGCUGAGGCUCGAAAGCGUGGGGAGCAAACAGGAUUAGAUACCCUGGUAGUCCACGCCGUAAACGAUGAGUGCUAAGUGUUGGAGGGUUUCCGCCCUUCAGUGCUGCAGCUAACGCAUUAAGCACUCCGCCUGGGGAGUACGACCGCAAGGUUGAAACUCAAAGGAAUUGACGGGGGCCCGCACAAGCGGUGGAGCAUGUGGUUUAAUUCGAAGCAACGCGAAGAACCUUACCAGGUCUUGACAUCCUUUGACCACUCUAGAGAUAGAGCUUCCCCUUCGGGGGCAAAGUGACAGGUGGUGCAUGGUUGUCGUCAGCUCGUGUCGUGAGAUGUUGGGUUAAGUCCCGCAACGAGCGCAACCCUUAUUGUUAGUUGCCAUCAUUUAGUUGGGCACUCUAGCGAGACUGCCGGUGACAAACCGGAGGAAGGUGGGGAUGACGUCAAAUCAUCAUGCCCCUUAUGACCUGGGCUACACACGUGCUACAAUGGGAAGUACAACGAGUCGCAAAGUCGCGAGGCUAAGCUAAUCUCUUAAAGCUUCUCUCAGUUCGGAUUGUAGGCUGCAACUCGCCUACAUGAAGCCGGAAUCGCUAGUAAUCGCGGAUCAGCACGCCGCGGUGAAUACGUUCCCGGGCCUUGUACACA
Molecule: ribosomal RNA, 1297 nt
Filed under: Enterococcus hirae
Lineage: Bacteria; Bacillati; Bacillota; Bacilli; Lactobacillales; Enterococcaceae
Description: bacterial SSU rRNA
Rfam family: Bacterial small subunit ribosomal RNA
Source: RNAcentral